RNAcentral lists this unclassified non-coding RNA (1121 nucleotides) under Bombus terrestris (buff-tailed bumblebee). RNAcentral's name for it is "misc RNA ENSBTSG00005019954.1". The record is from RNAcentral. Lineage: Eukaryota; Metazoa; Arthropoda; Insecta; Hymenoptera; Apidae.
AAAUCGAGGCAAGUUCCUCGUGCCUAUUUUUGCAAAUCCGUUCCCACUUGGAUCCUAAUCUUUCUCUGCCAACACGGUGACGUCCGGUUGGUCGCAUAUUCGAAACGAGAUAAACAGCCAGAAGUGCUGGCCGGUCGAAGGUUGCCGCUUGGACGCAAAAGCGGCGCAAUAAGCUGUGCCGUGGCCGUUCCUUCGGCCACGUUCGCUAGCCUCUCCUCCGAUCUCCUCGAAUUUUCCGAUCCAGUAACGAAAAUUCCAAUUCCUCGUAGAAUUUUCACCGUUCUGGCCGUUUGCCAGUAGCCUUACGCGUUGUCUCGAGUCAUUAACUCGUCGUAUUUGCGUCCAGCCUCCACUCUCUCGUCCGAGAAUUCUCGAAACGAAUACAACUUGGUGGAGUGAAAACGACAAGUUUAACGCCCUUGUCAAAGGUCUGUCAGAACGAUCGGACUCGUCAUGGAAUCGUUGGACCGAUCGUAAAAGAAGAGGCAUCAAAGGAGGUGUCUAAUUAAACGCACCUUGACGAGUUACGUUCUUUAAUCUUGUCGAUUAGAGGCUACUGUUGUCCGUGUUUCUUGAUUGUUGGCGUGGUCGUGGGGUUGUUCGUUCAUGGAUCGAGCGUGAAAGUGAGAAAGUUCCGAGGGCGAAAUUGACGUGCACGUUCGUUUUCUGGUUACGUCGUGACGUGCGCGUUAAGUGGAACCAGAAACCGGAUCUCGAGUUCCGUGGGGGUUUCCGGCAGAUGUACGAGAUAUACAUAUAUGUGCAACUGAUUGGCGUAGACAAGUUAACGGAGAUUAAACAAGAAUCGAACGAGAUUUAUCAUGGAUCGCUGAGAAAACCGGCACACAGGCGUGAAGUUGGCGGAAGCUGACCGGUGACACACAAAGUGGACUCGGUUUGUUAUUUCGUCCCGUGGCUGGUCCGCUAUCGUGCUCGUUUAUCCGACAAAGAUCUCUGUUUAUCUCGAUUCCGAUCGAUUCCCUGUCACAGGAUAUCGAGAGGUGUCAACUGUCCAUUGUUGCCGUGUGUGUACACGCCUAUAAACGCGCGCGUAUAGUUUUCGGAGAAACGUGUUUCUGCCGGUCGAAGUGUUCGUUCUAUUGGCGAGUCUGUUUCUUAAG